This 538-nucleotide ribosomal RNA is filed under the name [Candida] sp. Ox1adO556. RNAcentral's name for it is "eukaryotic LSU rRNA". It matches the Rfam family "Eukaryotic large subunit ribosomal RNA", at positions 41 to 647 of the family's 3401-position model. Lineage: Eukaryota; Fungi; Ascomycota; Saccharomycetes; Saccharomycetales. The record is from RNAcentral.
UAUCAAUAAGCGGAGCAAAAGGGUCCCUGCAUAGCACUAAGCGGAACAAAAGGGUCCUUGCUUUGCAAUUAUAGNCUGCGCAGUCAUAUGGGUUCCUUGCGAACAGGACGUCACAAUACAGGUGAGAAUCCCGUGCGAUGAGGAGUCCAAUUCUAUGUAAAGUUCCUUCGAAGAGUCGAGUUGUUUGGGAAUGCAGCUCUAAGUGGGUGGUAAAUUCCAUCUAAAGCUAAAUAUUGGCGAGAGACCGAUAGCGAACAAGUACAGUGAUGGAAAGAUGAAAAGAACUUUGAAAAGAGAGUGAAAAAGUACGUGAAAUUGUUGAAAGGGAAGGGCUUUUGAUCAGACUUGGUGUUUAGUACUCUCUGCUCCUUGUGGGUGGGGCUCUUGCUUUAUACUGGGCCAGCAUCGGUUUUGAUGGCAGGAUAAUGACUUUGGAACGUGGCUUCAUUCGUGAAGUGUUAUAGCCUUUGUUGAUACUGCCUAUCGGGACCGAGGACUGCGUCUUUGACUAGGAUGCUGGCGUAAUGAUUUAAAGCCC